Non-coding RNA from Acomys russatus (golden spiny mouse), 588 nucleotides. The record is from the annotation of a RefSeq genome assembly. Lineage: Eukaryota; Metazoa; Chordata; Mammalia; Rodentia; Muridae.
AUGAUCACUGUCCUCUUGACAAUAACUGAGUACACAGGUCCUUACCCCAGCUGGAGCUGGAUCAUUCUUUUCCUGGUUACAGCAGCUACAGGUGUCCACUCCCAGGUCCAGCUGCAGCAGUCUGGGUCUCAGCUGGGGAGACCUGGGUCCUCAGUGAAGUUGUCCUACAAGGCUUCUGGCUACACCUUCACCAGCUACUAUAUGCACUGGGUGAAGCAGAAGCCUGGACAGGGCAUGGAGAAGAUUGGAAGGAUUUAUGCUGGAAGUGGUGGUACUAAGUAUGAUCAGAAGUUCAAGGGCAAGGCAACACUGACUGCAGACAAAUCCUCCAGCACAGCGUACAUGGGACUCAGCAGCCUGACAUCUGAGGACUCUGCGAUCUAUUACUGUGUGAGACACACAGUGCUGCAACCACAUCUUGAGUCUGUCAGAAACUCUGGAGGAUCAGGAAGCAUCCACGAGCCUGAGAAGACAGAGGAUAUUAGCCUGGAGAAUUGCUCAGAAAUAAUAAUUUCGAGCAUUCAUUUUUCUGCUUCCUCCUCUCAGUGCUAUAGUGCCUUUGUCAACUUUGUAAGAGGACAUCCAUGA